Molecule: long non-coding RNA, 553 nt
Organism: Tupaia belangeri chinensis (Chinese tree shrew)
Lineage: Eukaryota; Metazoa; Chordata; Mammalia; Scandentia; Tupaiidae
Exons: 3
Source: RefSeq, a predicted model, not a curated record
GGGUACUUUAUACUGUAAGUGUUUCUCAUUUCUUAUUCCCUGUCCUCACAUCUUAGAGGCAAAAGACCUACCAAGAUUUGAAAUUUCUUUUUCUCCUCUCAUACACAUGACUCUCUGUCCUUGCUCUUUGUUCUGCAUUAUCUUACGACAAAAAAAGAUUUAUUAUUUUGGAUCAAACUCAAAGCUGGGCCGUGAUAUCUGAAGGUACAGACUCUCAUACUUACAGAUAACAAAGCCUUUUACUGACAUUUUCAUCUCUCAAGCGUCCACCCUGGAGGGUAUGGAUCCUCCUAGAAGGGUGAGGCUCUCUGCACACUCCAGAUUGAGGACUUGAAGAAGCCGGUGGACCAUGAUGUUUGGAGAAUAAGAGUGGGAUUUCAGUGGAGUGAAGUUCAGGAGGCAUGGAGCUGACAGCGACGGUGCCACACAGCAACAGCAACAAGAGUAACUUUGACUUAGACACAAAAAUCCCGGGGAGAAAUGUGAUUGAUGGAGGAGACACCUGGAGUGCACCCCAUUCUGCAGAGAGGCCGGGCGAUGGGCAGACUGGAAA